RNAcentral lists this ribosomal RNA (432 nucleotides) under uncultured bacterium. RNAcentral's name for it is "partial 16S ribosomal RNA". It matches the Rfam family "Bacterial small subunit ribosomal RNA", at positions 28 to 507 of the family's 1533-position model. The record is from RNAcentral.
GAUGAACGCUGGCGGUAUGCUUAACACAUGCAAGUCGAACGGUCACUUCGGUGAUAGUGGCGGACGGGUGAGUAACGCGUGAGAAUCUGUCUUCAGGUCGGGGACAACAGUUAGAAAUGACUGCUAAUACCGGAUGUGCCUUUGGGUGAAAGAUUUAUUGCCUGAAAAAGAGCUCGCGUCAGAUUAGCUAGUAGGUGGUGUAAGAGACUACCUAGGCUCCGAUCUGUAGCUGGUCUGAGAGGACGAUCAGCCACACUGGAACUGAGACACGGUCCAGACUCCUACGGGAGGCAGCAGUGGGGAAUUUUCCGCAAUGGGCGAAAGCCUGACGGAGCAAUACCGCGUGAGGGACGAAGGCCUUUGGGUCGUAAACCUCUUUUCUCAAGGAAGAUGAUGACGGUACUUGAGGAAUAAGCAUCGGCUAACUCUGUG